CGUUAUAGUUUGGAAUGGCGCCCUGCAAGUGGCAUAUGUGGCCUAUUCGAGUACCAGCAAUACGAUGCGCAAGGUGUUUCCAGGCACCACUCUCACAGAGGAGGAGAUUUUCAUUUUCAACACUGUACAGUCACAAUGCCAUGUAACGGAUGGUCCCGGACCAGGACUUGUCCACGAGAGGAUAAAUAACAUGUUGAAAAACACUGCAAACCUAGCGGCAUUCGGAUGUGUGGAGAGAAACAAUAUGACCUCAACAAGCUCUUGUCAAUUAUUUACAAUUGUGUAGUGCACUCACUUUGUCAUCAUAUCCUCAUCCUCAUCUAAGAACUUGUUAUUCAUUGCACUGUAAGUUUGACUAUAUGCAUUGUGUCAUGUAUUUAUUGUGGACCCCAAUUCAAAACAAAUGCAUUGUUUCCAAAUGUAAUUGUAUAAAGAAUUAAGUGCUUAGAAUAAGUAGUAGUAGCAGUUAAUAGUUAUUGUACAUAUCCGAUAUACCAAUUGUCAUGACAUACACGAAUAAUAAAUGUAUUACGAUUAUAUGAGGUGUAA
This is a long non-coding RNA of Dreissena polymorpha, 549 nucleotides long. RefSeq lists it as uncharacterized. The record is from RefSeq and is a predicted model, not a curated record. NCBI's taxonomy places the organism in Eukaryota, Metazoa, Mollusca, Bivalvia, Myida, Dreissenidae. The transcript is spliced from 4 exons.